CCUCCAUACAAAUAUGUACAACCAUUGAAGCAAGUUGUAUACAUUUGACAACAAAGAAUUAUUCGUAUACACGAACAAAGUACAUAAAAUGUCCAGUUUGCCAUCCCAAAUUAAUCCAUACAAGCCAUCAUACAUUACAUCCAUUAAUGCAAGUCACAAAAGCACCGAAAAGGCAAAAUGUAGACAUGAUUUCCAUCAAUUCAAGUUGUAGAAAGGCAGAAAGAAAAAUAAUCCAUAGAUUCUACUAUAAAGGAUAAUUUAUAUAUUCAUGAUCUUAUAUUUACUAUGCGAACAAAGAGCAUGAAAAGACGAUUUUGCCCCCCCACAACAACCAAGACAUCAAUGAGACUCAUGGGUUUUUCUUGAAAGCCCACCUCACCUAAAAUUUGAACCCUAAACAAAAUAACAAACUGGCCCUACCAACUAGGAAAUACUAUUUCCAUGGUUGUUUUUGCUGCUUCCACUCUGCUUAAACCCUUGACCCAUUCUCAUGCAAAUCCAAAACAAUCUUGGAAAUAGAUAUAUUUCUGCAUCAUGCUGAUCUCUAACUUCAGUCGUUGAUAUUAGAUCGUAAUGGACACUACCAAACAUAACACGAAAGAUUGCGAAAAAUGGUUUCUUUAUGACCUAGUAGUAGAACGGUGUUGAAGAAAUAUAAGAAAAUGAUCAAGAAAGUGAGAAAAAAAUAUGGAAAUGAUUAAAUGAAGGUUGCAGAAUUCAGUUAUGAAGAGGAUUAGGGCCAGAAGGGACUAAUCUUUUCUCAACACCAUAUCUUGGAUCAAUUUCGUAGUCAUCCGUUGAUGGAGGCGGCAGCGGGAAUGGUGGGCAGUGGCGGAUUCUUUUGAGUUGAAAACGGAUUUGCGGCGGGGUUUGGGCAGGGAUUGGGUGGUGCACCGCCAGCUGUCGGUUGUGAUGGUGGCUCUGGGCUUCAGAGAUGGAAAAUAGGGUGAUCAGAAUGAGAAGAACAGAGACAAAGCUCUUCAUUGUGCUAGAGAGAGAGAGAUUUGUUUUGGUGGAAGUUAUACAUAUAUAUAUAUAUAUAUAUAUAUAUAUAUAUAUAUCUGUGGAUAUAACAAGAAGAUUUUGAUGAAAUUCUUGAGAUAAUAACAAAAUGAAAUGGAG
Molecule: long non-coding RNA, 1122 nt
Filed under: Olea europaea subsp. europaea
Lineage: Eukaryota; Viridiplantae; Streptophyta; Magnoliopsida; Lamiales; Oleaceae
Source: RNAcentral